This 5389-nucleotide long non-coding RNA is filed under the name Sus scrofa (pig). RNAcentral describes it as "lncRNA (ENSSSCG00060049473.1)". The record is from RNAcentral. Lineage: Eukaryota; Metazoa; Chordata; Mammalia; Artiodactyla; Suidae.
CCAUAUUCUACAUCCUAAAGACUCUUCAGUUUAUUGGUCAUAGCCUUCAGAAACAGCAAAGAAAGGAGGUUUGACAAAUCUGUAAGUUUUGAAUAUGUUAAAAUAGUUUAUUGGUUUCCCCAUGAGUCAUGUAUAAACAUGUAUGUAUGCUUGAAAAUAUAUGAAUUUAGAGGAGUAGCCUAAAAAUGAGCUUAAUAAUGGAAAUAAAGAAUUCAAAAAUAAUAAAAGAUACUUUUAUGGUGAAGCUUAGUUUUCUUUGAGUCAACUUAAACUUAUCCAUCCUUUUUUCUCUCUCUUAGUUACCCCCACUAAGAUUAUAAAUGAUUUUUUUAAGGAAUGCAGACAUUUUCAAGCUAGGAAUUUUCAGGCCUUUGAAAAUAGAAGUGAUUCCCAGGUAGGUAGUGUUCCCAGGGGCUGUGUGUGUUAACAGGGGCACUUUUUGCUUCACCUUCAACCUUGUUAAUUUUCCAGUCUAGUUUUCUCUUGCAGAGCACUAAUACAUGAUGACAGAUCAUGUAAUUCUUAUUAAUGUUGUAAAUUAAUCUUGAGUGAUGCCAUGUAAUUUAUGCUUACUCUUGACUGAAAGCACUUUUCCUUUCUCCCUCUCUCUCAUUCUCUCAAAAGCACUGAAAAUAGGGUUCAUCAAUUACUCAGCACUUGUAAUGGAGAGAUGCCAACUGACUUUGAAAUUAUUAGGAAUAUUCUCAAGUUUGCUAAUCUGCCAUAAGGAAGGAGAGAGGAAAGACACAUUUGUUUAUUGAGUAAUACUCAAUUCUUUCUUUUAGUCUCUAAAAUCCUGGGUUUUAAGUGCUGUUAUCACCAUUUUACAGAAGAGAAUUCUGAGGCUGAGAGAGGUUAAAAAGCAUUCUCAGGCCUAUCAUGCUUAGUCAACAGUCAGAAGAAAAUUUAAAAUGUUUGAAUUCUGAAUUAGAAGUCCAUGGUGUGGCCCCAUUCAAUGGGCAGAUAUCUAAGGCAAAUCUUCAGAAUAUAGGCUCGAGCAUUUCAGUUCAAAGAAAUUUCUCGUCAAUUUGAUGCUCCAUACUACAAAACAAAAUUCAGAGAAUAAGUGGUUUAGUUAUAGGAUGGAUUUGUUGACUAGGUGAAUGAGAACAGAAUAUAUUAUCUUUCUAAGAUAGAUAAGGCCCUAGGUUAUUUUACAGGAUUGCCACAUGUCUAAAAGAAGUCCAUUCCUGUACUUGAUUUGCUUUGAUAAAUGUGCCCAUAGUACUCUAACUGUAAUUAUUGUAUCAUUUGCUUCCCUUUCAUCUUGUUCUUUCUAAUUAUUGUUGUUAAAUUUAAUCUAAUCAUCUCAUGGCCAUGAUAUUCAGCAAUAUGUAGAUCUGUAAUUGAGUAUCUGAAGUUCAAUUAAUCACCCAAGUAUCUGAUCUCUUGUUUUUUAACAUUUCCAGCAUGCAUUAUUGUUUAUUAGAGGCUCUCACCUUCCACUUUACUGGUAGUAUGCAAUUCAGUUUUUUAGUGCGCCAUCUACAAUAGAACCAUUGGAUGGAAUUCUUUAAGGUAUGGUGUGUAUGUAAUGAAGAAUUGUAAUGUGAUUUAUUAGAGAGCACAACAGUCAUUAGAAAAUGAAUUCCUUUUGUUAUUCCCCUCCUCUAUUUUUUUUUAAAUAUUUUAUAGCUUCCAGGGAAAAAUAGAAUCCCAGGGAAAAAUAGAAAACACAGGGGCUAGUUUGGCUUUCAGAAUCUUAAAAAAAUAAUAAUAAUAAUGUCAUGAUUUUCAGCAGCACUGUGGAAGAGGUCAGGCUCUAUGUUAAGCCUACUUCAGGGAAAGCAAAUUUCACAAUGUUCUAUUAUUGGCAUUUUUUUUUUUUUCCAAAUUUUGCCCCAGUCAGCUGCCUUUUCCUCUGCAAUGCAUGACGCAUAACUCCUCCCUCAUCAAAGACUCAAUUAGGAAAAAAAUAUUAGCAAAAAGAACAAAUAAGCAAGUUUUGAUGGUCUUGCUUUGUGGCUUGUGUCUCCUUUUUUGGUUCUUCAAGUCUAAGACCUCUUUAGUCAGUCUCUCUAACCUUUCCAGACCUUCUAGUACCCAUCAAUCAUAAGUGUAUUCUUUGGGUGUGCUCUCCUUUUGUAUUAGCAAUGAUAAAUCCAAAAUUCUAACUUGCAUAGAUUUACAUUACAGGAAGCAGGAAGAAGCAGGCUUUGUCUUUAUGUAUCAGGAUUAACUGUGGAUCUUUUUAAAAAUGCAGAUUCCUAGUAGGAACAGUGGAAUCCUAAUUUAAUAAGAUUCAAGUGGUGCCAGAGAGGCUGUGUUCUUCAAAGUUCUACUAAUGCACUUUUGAAAGGCGCAAAAGGAAAUAAGACCGAUCCAGAAAUUCAUUAUUUCUCUCCAAUUUUUCCUUUUCCCAUCUGAGCCGAGCCUGGAAGUGCACAGACACAUUAGGGAAUGUUUCCACUGUGUGGGAGAAACAUCUGCAGAGUAUGCCUUAGACCACCAGAAGUGGAGAGAAAGAAGCAUGUGGGGGUGGAGGCAGCAGACACGAAAAAGAAAAACUGGGAGCUGAUGAGGCCCAAACAUCCAACUAAUUGCCUAACCUUCAGUUUACCUUUUCCAUUACAUAAGACAUCUAAGAGCUAUAAUAUUCAUGUGAAAAACAGUUUUUCAGUAUGGUGGUGAAAGAGAGUUCAUAGCACACCUUUCAAUUUUUUUUUUUUUUUUUUUUUUCUGUACCUGUGGGAAAAAGAUAGCCUUCCACUUUGCCCUUCACUCUCGAUAGCACCUUAGCUGGAUGUUCUUGGGUUUCUUCCUACUGGUCCUUGGCAGCCAUUUAUUAAGAUGGCCGUGCGCAAGCCCAGGAGCUGCAGGCCUCUGCUCUAUCCAGAGGGAAGCACAGUGAAGACAGAGAUGCAUUCUGAGAAAUUUCCUUAUGAAACAUCAGGGGCAAAAGGGGCUUUGAAAAUGCAAAUGAUUAUCAUUAGAAAGUAAUAUGCAACUACCGAAGAAACAUUUGAAAGAAUAAUGUGGUCUAGCAAAACAAUCCCGAAAUCUGCAUUCAAUCACUACUGUCCCAAAAUGCUUGCAGUGGUCCUUUGUAUUGUUGGGAGCCAAAUGCUUUCUGGAAUUCAUGAAGCCAGUUGUACCAAGUGGCAAAUUACCAACAGAAUAUUGUUGAAAAAACAACCAGCCUUAGAGUGGAACUUUCCAGUAAAGGGGAGACUCUUCAACUAUAAUGGCCAAGGUACUGAGAGUGACAAGAAUAUUGAUAUGCAUGCCUGUAACUGCUCACAGAUGAGUUUUUUGGAUUAGUUUGUUUUAGUCUACACCGUGUGGAACUGGACAUCAUGUCCACCAAAUAGCUUAUAUAUAAGGAUAAUUAAAAUUCAGUAUAUAAAAUUUUGAAAAUUAUAUGGGAUAGAGCUAUAUUUAGGAGAUUGGACAGGAAGAAUACAUACCAUGAACUUUUGGAACUGACUUAAUUUUGAUUCUAGGCCGAUUUAAUAAGGCUCUUCACUGCAGUGGUAUCAAAAUGCUACUAACCUUAUUCUCACAGAAAACAAGACACAUAUUCUUUAGAGAUCAUAGUUUUCACCAUUCAUCUUUGGUUCGGAGCCUUAAGGAGCAAGGCUCUUGGGCUCUAAUCUUCCAAAAGAGAGCUCUAGCCCUGGCUAUGAUUAAGUUUCAGACAAACCAUCUCCCUUCGCCCUUCGCAGUCCACACCUGGCAUCCAUGAGAAGAGCAGCCUCCUCGGGACAUAGACUGGCAGUCACGAGGCAGAAGCCCUGCUGUCUUUCAUGAAAGAACUACUUAUCCCAGAGCAAUAUAUCAUCUAUAGCCAAAGUGUGUGGUUUAGGAGAUGUCAAGCAUACUCAGAAAUCCUAGGCCUCAUUCAUUUGCCCACCAGAAACAGAAAUAUAUUCAUAAGAAGUCUUUUCAACAAAAUACCAUAAAGUUAGAAAGGAGUUGAGGCCCAGUGUGUUUACUGCCAAAAAAAUAGACAAGCAAACUGAAAGACCUUAGGUUUUCUCAUUUAAAGCCUUUUAGUUUAUUUUUCUGAAAGGGAGUGAUAAAAUUUGUUAAAAUCAAUAUUCAACCGAAGUAUGCAUUGAAUCUUAACAGUCAAUAUUCUGGAGAAGGUUUAAGAGAAUAUUCUUAUGUUAUUCUUAUGUUAUAGAAAAGGUUUAAGAGAAUAGUUUUUAAAUUUGUAUCAUUAAUGCCAGUAUCACACAAUAAAACAGUUUAUUUGUAGCUCUCCUGAUUCUUUUAAAAAAUAAACUUUCUUUUCUUUUUCUCUAAUCCCUCCCUCCCUCUUUUCCUUCUUUCCUUCUUUCCUUCCUUCCUCCCUCCCUCCCUUCUUUCCUUUCUGCCUUCCUUCCUUUCUUUCUUUGCUUUUCUCCAAAGAGAAAAGACAUUUUAUUCAUUUUAAAGCUCUAGAAAUUUGAAUUCAAAUGAGCAUUCUGGUAUUUGUGAUACAGAUUAAAUGUAGGAUAAUUGUCAAAAUACUCAGAUUUAUAGAUAUGGGAAGAUUAAAUUAAGGGCUAUUUCCCCAGGAGGUAUUGCUUUUUAACAGUGUUUUUAAGCAAUUUAUUAAAUAUGCUAUUUUCUGUCUCAUUAAAAUAUGUUUAACAAUAACAAUCACAUUUUAGAAAACUGUACUUGAAAAGGGGCAUUUUACAUAUUUAGUAAACUGAAAAAAAUCCAUAAAUUGUUGUUGCACCUCUUAUGGCAUUGAAGAAUGUUAAUUUUAACUGAGUUUUUACUUGAAUAUAAUUCAGUGAUGUUAAAGGCCUGAUUCAGUCUAAUCUAACUGCAGUUUGGCUGCCAAAUAUGUCAUAGAUACUAACAGGUUAUCAAUUUCUUGCCUUAUGCGUUAACUCCUUGGACCUUCACAUCGACACUAUUAAGUAGUCAUUAUGUCCAUUUUAUAGCUGAGAAAACUGAGCCUUUAAAAAAGUAAGCAACUUGCUAAAAGUCAUACAGUAGUGAAACAGAAGGAGAACCAGGAGCUUUUGAAUCUAGAAUCUGGUAUAUUACCUCAUCUCUCACUGAACUAAAAUCCACGAACAAAAUCUAGACAAAUAAAUGUGGUUAAUCCUGGUUUUUAUUCGAGGAUACUUUUUCAUCUAAAGCAUGAAGUUAACAUUUCACAUGUUUGAAAUAGAAACAUCAGAAUAUCAUGAGAGGUAAUAAAAAAAUGAGCAUUUGCAAACUUCCAACACUCAAUUCCUUGUUCCUUUUCACCCUGUUGAAUAGAUUGGUACCAUGGGAUCCAUUUACUUGGGUCUUCUUCCAACUGUGUGGGUUUUGGAUGCGAGAAAUUUUAUUUUCUCUGAAGUCAGGAAGGAGAAAGGAAAAUAUAGAAAGAGGAUGAAUUAGAUAUAUAAAGGCAGAACCCUUCCGAUUGCUAAUAUAUGCCAUCAUGAUAAGUAAUAAAAAA